RNAcentral lists this long non-coding RNA (863 nucleotides) under Sus scrofa (pig). RNAcentral describes it as "lncRNA (ENSSSCG00030036123.1)". Lineage: Eukaryota; Metazoa; Chordata; Mammalia; Artiodactyla; Suidae. The record is from RNAcentral.
CGCGCAGCCCCGCCGGCCCAGGCCCCGCCUCCCGCCGGGCGCGCUCCUCACCCCGCAGCCCCCAGCCCGCUUCCGCCUCGACGCCAGGAGGCUCCGGACUCGCCUGCCCGCGGCCUCCGGGCAGGUUUGUACCAGAGGACGAUAAAAUCCGUUGAGGUCAGCGACAGGGCAGGGCCCACCCCAAACCCUCUGUUCUGCCAGCAUUUGUAGAGUUUCCUGCGCUGAAGCAGAACUCCUGCCAGAAAAAGGGUUACUUUCCUCUUUGUGUCUGUCAUCUUCCCGCUCCCCUGGGAGCUCUGAACAUCUUCAGAACAGCCUCUGGGACUUCCUGGGAUGUCCCCUCCCUGGGACCCUAGGGUCGCAGGGCGCUGCGGGCUUUACUGGCGGAGUGUCCGCUCUGUUAGGAAUCAGGUGGAAAGACGACACGUAAUCUAAUCUCUUAUCCUAAUGAGUCACUGAGCUUGUUUUCCCUUUUUCCCUUUCAAAACUGUCAAGGGCGAGCAGAAUCCGCAAAGCUGGUCUCUCUCUGGACAGGAAUCCACCUUCUCCCCCAGAUUGCCGGCUUUUCUGACUAAAGCAUCUUUCUCUUCAGCAGACACACGCCCCUCCACUAUUGGCUCUAGGAGGGAAAAGCCCAGAAGAAACUCUCACCUACUCACACUCGACCACGCUGCUCAGGGCGCCGGCGGUGUGGGUGCUCUGGUUUAUUCUGAUUUUGUUCAGAAUUUCUCGCCCCUGAAUCUCCACUGGACACGAAAGCCGCUGUUAGGGUAAGACCGGAACCUCGACUCCAGGAAAUCUCGUCCUUCCGCCCCAGAAGAGGAGCCUGGGCCUCAGAUUCCAGCGUCUGAGGAGACCCCCCC